This is a long non-coding RNA of Oncorhynchus tshawytscha (Chinook salmon), 1845 nucleotides long. Lineage: Eukaryota; Metazoa; Chordata; Actinopteri; Salmoniformes; Salmonidae. The record is from Ensembl.
GGGAAAACGUAGUACUAAAUAACUCAUCACGUAUGGGAAAAGUCUAAAAAGUAUUUAUUGUAAGAUGUUACAUUUAGAAUGUCUCUCUAGCAGCACUAUUUAAAUGACACAGCUAUUCAAGGGCAGUUACAAUAGAUUGGACUUUGUUUCUUAUGCAAGAUGUUUUGUAAACAAAGAAAAAGACAACAUUACAUCAAUAUGCUUACCACAGUUUCACAAUUUCUAACAAAGGUGUUCCAUAUUUUAAAAAAUAAGUUCAGGAUUAAUAAACACUGUAUUGAGUAAAAAAAGUAAUUGAAAUAUAGAAAUAAAAUUGAUGAAAUAUAGACCAGUUAAAAUAAAUUAAACAGAAAAUGUCAAUUGGAUUACACAAACUUUACAAUUUCAACAUUACCUGAUAUACCACAUACUCCUUCAAAAUUCUAUUUUUCAAUUCUGUUUAGGGUGGGUGCACAGGUUCUCUGAAAUAUUACAAAAUGUUGACCUUUGUUGACAACAAUUCAAACAUUAUGUUCUUCUAAUAUGUAUAACUUUAAUGUUUUCUCAAAUGACAAAUGGAAAUGUCAAGGUUUAGCUUGAAAAUGAAUUUUGAGGAGGAAAAGUGACAUACAUUUUCUGCAUUUUUCACAUGGCCCUACAGCAUUUAAUUUUUGUAUUUUUUUUUUACACCUUUAUUUAACUAGGCAAGUCAGUUAAGAACAAAUUCUUAUUUUCAAUGACGGCCUAGGAACGGUUGGUUAACUGCCUGUUCAGGGGCAGAACGACAGUUUUGUACCUUGUCAGCUCAGGGGUUUGAACUUGCAACCUUCUGGUUGCCAACACUCUAACCACUAGGCUACCCUGCCGCCCCAGUUAAGUGAAUAGGGAGGGUUUCUAACAGGCUAUUCUGUGUUUGUUAACAACAUUAGUGCAAGGACCAACACCAUCCUACUCCAACAACGUUACUCUUUCCCUGCAUGUCUAGAAAUGGAUGGAAAGGGACAUUUAAGCCUCCUGUAAAUGUUGUGGCACAUUCUAGCAGAGAAAGCAACUACAGGCAACAGGAGACGUUUGGCAACUUCACAUGCACUCCAUAGAAUAAGAUGAGAUUUUCAUGACCAAAUGAUAUCAGGUCAAAGUGUUAGCCUAUAAAAAAAACCACAUAGAAUCAAGCAGCCCACUGUUAAUUUAAACCAAUAGCCUGGUGUCAUUUUUUCAAAUUGUCAUGUUGAAAGAGGAAAAUAGUGACCGACAAAAUGCUUGAGUCCAUUCAUGGCUUCCUAAACAACCACUCUAAUUAUAGUAGGCUGUGCACCUUUUGAAGAAGAUAUCUGUCACUGAAAGGGAGCAGCUACAAUAGCACAGAUCAUAUCAAACUUCAGGCUCACUAAAGGGUGUAUACUACUUACUGGAUCCAAUUUGUAGUUUGAAUGUUGGUCAAGCUCUUUCUUGAAUAUAUGACACAUCUAAAUAUUUACAUUACUCAGGUCAUAUAUUUGCUUUCAUUACUAAUCCAUAGCGAGAUCUUUCAACAGCUCAGACAAAAGAAAGUCACACAACAGCUUGAUAAGUUGUUACAUGGAAAUACAGCAAAUGUGACUUGUAGAAAUCAUUAUUGACUUGCACUGGCAACAAUCUAAAAAGUGAUAGCGUUCACAAUCAUCAACGAUAUCGCACAACAAUCCCUCUUGAUGCACUCGAAAGUUCAUUUGAACGUUCCCAAACACGUGGUAAAUGGCUUUUAGAUAGGAGUCAUACAGCUGAAGUGUCAAAUCAUCUGAAGUGACCUACUGUUAUGAUAUGGGGGCUAGUUAGUGACCUACUGUUAUGAUAUGGGGGCUAGUUAGUGACCUACUGUUAUGAUAU